Regulatory RNA element from Desulfitobacterium hafniense Y51, 182 nucleotides. It matches the Rfam family "Lysine riboswitch aptamer". From Rfam's summary of the family: Riboswitches are metabolite binding domains within certain messenger RNAs that serve as precision sensors for their corresponding targets. Allosteric rearrangement of mRNA structure is mediated by ligand binding, and this results in modulation of gene expression. The record is from Rfam. Lineage: Bacteria; Bacillati; Bacillota; Clostridia; Eubacteriales; Desulfitobacteriaceae.
AGGUGAGGUAGAGGUGCGAUAUUUAACAGUCCUUUUUGGAGCAUGAGCAGCGAGGAAAACAAGGAGAAGGAAAUAUCGCCGAAGCUUUUAAUACGCUCAGUAUUAUGGGCUGGGUCUGCAGUGAACAACUGCAGAACUGUCUCAAUAGACGUCCCGGUUUAUUGAGUUGUGCUAUCUCGGCG